AUACGGAGGGUGCAAGCGUUAAUCGGAAUUACUGGGCGUAAAGAGUACGUAGGCGGCCUACUAAGUCAGAUGUGAAAGCCCAGGGCUCAACCUUGGAACUGCAUUUGAAACUGGUAGGCUAGAGUAUGGUAGAGGGGGGUAGAAUUUCUGGUGUAGCGGUGAAAUGCGUAGAUAUCAGAAGGAAUACCAGUGGCGAAGGCGGCCCCCUGGCCCAAUACUGACGCUGAGGUACGAAAGCGUGGGUAGCGAACGGGAUUAGAAACCCGAGUAGUCC
This 274-nucleotide ribosomal RNA is filed under the name uncultured bacterium. Its description in RNAcentral is "partial 16S ribosomal RNA". It matches the Rfam family "Bacterial small subunit ribosomal RNA", at positions 523 to 796 of the family's 1533-position model. The record is from RNAcentral.